GUGGAUUAGAUACCCGAGUAGUCCACGCUGUAAACGAUGAAUACUAGGUGUGGGAGGACUGACCCCUUCCGUGCCGCAGUUAACACAAUAAGUAUUCCACCUGGGGAGUACGACCGCAAGGUUGAAACUCAAAGGAAUUGACGGGGGCCCGCACAAGCAGUGGAUUAUGUGGUUUAAUUCGACGCAACGCGAAGAACCUUACCAGGAUUUGACAUCCUACUAACGAAGCAGAGAUGCAUUAGGUGCCCUUCGGGGAAAGUAGAGACAGGUGGUGCACGGUCGUCGACAGCU
This 291-nucleotide ribosomal RNA is filed under the name uncultured bacterium. Its description in RNAcentral is "partial 16S ribosomal RNA". It matches the Rfam family "Bacterial small subunit ribosomal RNA", at positions 773 to 1060 of the family's 1533-position model. The record is from RNAcentral.